RNAcentral lists this ribosomal RNA (491 nucleotides) under uncultured bacterium. Its description in RNAcentral is "partial 16S ribosomal RNA". It matches the Rfam family "Bacterial small subunit ribosomal RNA", at positions 28 to 507 of the family's 1533-position model. The record is from RNAcentral.
GAUGAACGCUGGCUACAGGCUUAACACAUGCAAGUCGAGGGGAAACGACGGGGAAGCUUGCUUCCCCGGGCGUCGACCGGCGCACGGGUGAGUAACGCGUAUCCAACCUGCCUCUGACUGAGGGAUAACCCGUCGAAAGUCGGCCUAAUACCUCAUGGCAUCGUCUGCGGGCAUCCAACGACGAUUAAAGAUUUCAUCGGUCAGGGAUGGGGAUGCGUCUGAUUAGCUUGUUGGCGGGGUAACGGCCCACCAAGGCUACGAUCAGUAGGGGUUCUGAGAGGAAGGUCCCCCACAUUGGAACUGCGACACGGUCCAAACUCCUACGGGAGGCAGCAGUGAGGAAUAUUGGUCAAUGGGCGGGAGCCUGAACCAGCCAAGUAGCGUGCAGGAUGACGGCCCUAUGGGUUGUAAACUGCUUUUAUGCGGGGAUAAAGUGAGGGACGUGUCCUUCAUUGCAGGUACCGCAUGAAUAAGGACCGGCUAAUUCCGUG